Molecule: non-coding RNA, 232 nt
Organism: Cinara cedri
Lineage: Eukaryota; Metazoa; Arthropoda; Insecta; Hemiptera; Aphididae
Source: the annotation of a GenBank genome assembly
UCAUCCGACCGCUACGAUUACUACUGCGGACUUGCUUUUUAUAAAUAUUCUGUUUACGGAUACAUUACACACGCAUACGCACAUGAGAAAUUUAAAAUUGUAAUCGCGGUAAAUGAAAGACCUGGAUAACUACAAACAAUAUAUUAUAACUUUAUGACAAUAAAACUUUCACGAUUGAAUAAAAUUCGAACUGAUAAAUAAUAAAUGACCUAGUUCUGACGAUUUGAUACUA